This 447-nucleotide ribosomal RNA is filed under the name uncultured bacterium. RNAcentral describes it as "bacterial SSU rRNA". It matches the Rfam family "Bacterial small subunit ribosomal RNA", at positions 329 to 793 of the family's 1533-position model. The record is from RNAcentral.
CGCCAGACUCCUACGGGAGGCAGCAGUGGGGAAUAUUGCACAAUGGGGGAAACCCUGAUGCAGCGACGCCGCGUGAGCGAUGAAGUAUUUCGGUAUGUAAAGCUCUAUCAGCAGGGAAGAAGAUGACGGUACCUGACUAAGAAGCCCCGGCUAACUACGUGCCAGCAGCCGCGGUAAUACGUAGGGGGCAAGCGUUAUCCGGAUUUACUGGGUGUAAAGGGAGCGUAGACGGCGGCGCAAGCCAGAUGUGAAAGCCCGGGGCUCAACUCCGGGACUGCAUUUGGAACUGUGUGGCUGGAGUGUCGGAGAGGCAGGCGGAAUUCCUAGUGUAGCGGUGAAAUGCGUAGAUAUUAGGAGGAACACCAGUGGCGAAGGCGGCUUACUGGACUGUAACUGACGUUGAGGCUCGAAAGCGUGGGGAGCAAACAGGAUUAGAUACCCCCGUAA